This 2829-nucleotide ribosomal RNA is filed under the name Mesorhizobium sp. RNAcentral's name for it is "23S ribosomal RNA". It matches the Rfam family "Bacterial large subunit ribosomal RNA". Lineage: Bacteria; Pseudomonadati; Pseudomonadota; Alphaproteobacteria; Hyphomicrobiales; Phyllobacteriaceae. RNAcentral also lists the same sequence under 33 other names. The record is from RNAcentral.
GAUCAAGUGUCUUAAGGGCAAUUGGUGGAUGCCUUGGCAUGCACAGGCGAUGAAGGACGUGAUACGCUGCGAUAAGCUACGGGGAGGUGCGAAUACCCUUUGAUCCGUAGAUUUCCGAAUGGGGAAACCCACCUAAGGUACUUGGAAAAUCAGAGCAGCCGGAAGGUCGCAAGGCCGACUUGCUGCUGUGGUUUCCAAGUAUCGAUAAUAGGUAACUUACCCUGAAUACAUAGGGGUAAAGUGGCGAACGCGGGGAACUGAAACAUCUAAGUACCCGUAGGAAAGGACAUCAACCGAGACUCCGGAAGUAGUGGCGAGCGAACCCGGACCAGGCCAGUGGCGAUUGAGAGACAAGCGGAACCUUCUGGAAAGUAGGGCCAUAGUGGGUGACAGCCCCGUACGCGUAAUGCAAUCAAUCGUCCUCGAGUAAGGCGGGACACGUGAAAUCCUGUCUGAAAUUGGGGGGACCACCCUCCAAGCCUAAGUACUCGUGCAUGACCGAUAGCGAACUAGUACCGUGAGGGAAAGGUGAAAAGCACCCCGACAAGGGGAGUGAAAGAGUACCUGAAACCGAUUGCCUACAAACAGUGGAAGCCCAAGGUUCGUCCUGGGUGACCACGUACCUUUUGUAUAAUGGGUCAGCGACUUAGUGUGACGAGCAAGCUUAAACCGCUAGGUGUAGGCGCAGCGAAAGCGAGUCUGAAUAGGGCGUUCAGUUCGUCGCAUUAGACCCGAAACCGAGUGAUCUAGCCAUGAGCAGGUUGAAGGUAAGGUAACACUUACUGGAGGACCGAACCCAUAACUGUUGCAAUAGUUCGGGAUGACUUGUGGCUAGGGGUGAAAGGCCAAUCAAACUCGGAAAUAGCUGGUUCUCCGCGAAAUCUAUUUAGGUAGAGCGUCGACCGAAUACCCCAGGGGGUAGAGCACUGGAUGGGCUAGGGGUCCUCACCGGAUUACCAAACCUAACCAAACUCCGAAUACCUGGGAGUACUAGUCGGCAGACACACGGCGGGUGCUAACGUCCGUCGUGAAAAGGGAAACAACCCUGACCUACAGCUAAGGUCCCCAAGUUAUGGCUAAGUGGGAAAGGAUGUGAGGAUCCCAAAACAACCAGGAUGUUGGCUUAGAAGCAGCCAUCAUUUAAAGAAAGCGUAACAGCUCACUGGUCUAAAUAAGGGUCUUUGCGCCGAAAAUGUAACGGGGCUAAAGCCAUACACCGAAGCUUAGGGUUUGGUCCGCAAGGGCCAAGCGGUAGCGGAGCGUUCUGUAAGCUGAUGAAGCCAUACCCGUGAGGGGUGGUGGAGGUAUCAGAAGUGCGAAUGCUGACAUGAGUAACGUAAGGGGAGUGAGAGACUCCCCCGCCGAAAGACCAAGGGUUCCUGCUUAAAGCUAAUCUGAGCAGGGUUAGCCGGCCCCUAAGACGAGGCGGAAACGCGUAGUCGAUGGGAACCACGUUAAUAUUCGUGGGCUUGGAGGUAGUGACGGAUCAUUGAGGUAGUCCAAUCUUAUCGGAUUGAACGGGCUGCUGCGUGGUUCCAGGAAAUAGCUCCUCCUUAUAAACCGUACCCGAAACCGACACUGGUGGUCUGGUAGAGUAUACCAAGGCGCUUGAGAGAACUAUGCUGAAGGAACUCGGCAAAUUGCACGCGUAACUUCGGAAGAAGCGUGACCCUUUUCUACGCAAGUAGAGGAGGGUGGCACAGACCAGGGGGUAGCGACUGUUUAUCAAAAACACAGGGCUCUGCGAAGUCGCAAGACGACGUAUAGGGUCUGACGCCUGCCCGGUGCUGGAAGGUUAAGAGGAGGGGUGCAAGCUCUGAAUCGAAGCCCCAGUAAACGGCGGCCGUAACUAUAACGGUCCUAAGGUAGCGAAAUUCCUUGUCGGGUAAGUUCCGACCUGCACGAAUGGCGUAACGACUUCCCCGCUGUCUCCAGCAUAGACUCAGUGAAAUUGAAUUCCCCGUGAAGAUGCGGGGUUCCUGCGGUUAGACGGAAAGACCCCGUGCACCUUUACUAUAGCUUUACAUUGGCAUUCGUAGUGGCAUGUGUAGGAUAGGUGGUAGGCUUUGAAACCUGGGCGCCAGCUCAGGUGGAGCCACCCUUGAAAUACCACCCUUAUUACUAUGGAUGUCUAACCGCGGCCCGUUAUCCGGGUCCGGGACAAUGUAUGGUGGGUAGUUUGACUGGGGCGGUCGCCUCCUAAAGAGUAACGGAGGCGCGCGAUGGUGGGCUCAGAACGGUCGGAAAUCGUUCGCUGAGUGCAAUGGCAUAAGCCUGCCUGACUGCGAGACUGACAAGUCGAGCAGAGACGAAAGUCGGUCAUAGUGAUCCGGUGGUCCCGCGUGGAAGGGCCAUCGCUCAACGGAUAAAAGGUACGCCGGGGAUAACAGGCUGAUGACCCCCAAGAGUCCAUAUCGACGGGGUUGUUUGGCACCUCGAUGUCGACUCAUCGCAUCCUGGGGCUGGAGCAGGUCCCAAGGGUAUGGCUGUUCGCCAUUUAAAGCGGUACGUGAGUUGGGUUCAGAACGUCGUGAGACAGUUCGGUCCCUAUCUGCCGUGGGUGUAGGAAUAUUGAAAGGAUCUGUCCCUAGUACGAGAGGACCGGGAUGGACGGAUCUCUGGUGGACCUGUUGUGGCGCCAGCCGCAUAGCAGGGUAGCUAUAUCCGGACGGGAUAACCGCUGAAGGCAUCUAAGCGGGAAACCCACCUUAAAACGAGUAUUCCCUGAGAACCGUGGAAGACGACCACGUUGAUAGGCCGGGUGUGGAAGAGCGGCAACGCUUGAAGCUUACCGGUACUAAUAGUUCGAUCGGCUUGAUCGUUCUCAUU